This is a non-coding RNA of Arachis ipaensis, 1084 nucleotides long. The record is from RefSeq and is a predicted model, not a curated record. Lineage: Eukaryota; Viridiplantae; Streptophyta; Magnoliopsida; Fabales; Fabaceae.
CCCCACCCCCAGUAGAAAACCUAUUUCUCCUAAGUUGUAACCUAGCGCAGCCACUGUAAAAGAGGGGAGAAACCCCAGUACCCCAACGCGAAACCCAACUCCAGGCAGCCCACCCCGCGCCUCCCAGCCCCUCACAGUCGCGCCGAAGAAGCGCCGAACAAGCACCUCCUAGCCACUCCCAGUCCAAGGAACCUGCGCGGCCUAACCCCCUUCGGGUCUCGCAGAACGAGCGCCUCCUAGUAGCGCCGGACAGUGACGAAGCAGCGCAGACCAUCCCCUCUGAAGAGUGUCAAACCGGCAAACCCAACCCCUCUGACACCAAGUAUGGAGCCUCAAUCUCAGAUUUUGGAACUUUCUAUUUUGAUGGGGAAACUAUUGGUGGGCAUGAGCAUAAGGAUUCCCUUUCCAUGACCUCUUCAGUUGUUCCAUGGGUAACUGCAUUUGCUGCUACAGUUUGUGGAGAAAUAAAUGUGGAUGCUGAAGGCAGUUCUCCAAUUCAUCACAGAAUGUUCAAUCUAUAAAAGAAAUGUCUGUUUCCUAUAAAUGUAACAACCCGGUUGCCAUGAAUUUAUUUGUAUUUGGACUUGGCUUCAAGGAAGAAAUACAAUGUCAAUCGGAUGCAUGAAUGUCAAUAAUGUAACCAUCAUUGAAGUGCACUACUAGUAUUUUAAGUUGGACAAUUCUUGUCAUGCCAUUCCUAUUCCUCAUGACCAUUUCAUCAAGUCUCGUUUUCUACUUCCUAGUAGGGCUGAGACAUCAAUUAAACUUCUUAAUGUAGUUUGUGCUAGGCAUUUUCAUGUCUCUUUUAGCAAGUGAAGCAAUUAUGUUUGUCAUGGAAGUUGUUUAUGGUUUUGUUGUGUUCAUUUUAUUAUGCAGAUAAAUAUGUCUGCUUAUUAGAUGUAGGUGUGAGAGAGUCGGUACAGAUUUUAGUAUUUUUUUUGGCUUACUUGCAUCGUUGCAUUGUAUUAACUUAUUUUUUUUGCAUUUUGCAUUUCCUAUAUCCGUUAUCAGUUUAUAAUGAAUUUUUGUAGCUGUAUGUGUUUCGUGAAAUUAUUAUCAUUAAUUAAAUGUGUGUCAUUCUCAA